GGGCCUGGUGGUCCCGGAGAUCCCCUAAAGGACUCCAGGAGAAAGAACUUCCCUCCCACCCACCCUUCCCAGGUCGGUCACCCACAAGGGUGACUUCUGUACGCAGGGUGGCGGGGAGGGGGUAAUGUCGGCCACGACAACCAGAUAAGUACGGCCCCCGUCCGGGAUUGGCGUCCCGAUCGAGGGCCUCACCACCAAGGAAGACGGAACCUUCCCG
Molecule: non-coding RNA, 217 nt
Filed under: Streptomycetaceae bacterium MP113-05
Lineage: Bacteria; Bacillati; Actinomycetota; Actinomycetes; Kitasatosporales; Streptomycetaceae
Description: Streptomyces sRNA 4677
Rfam family: Streptomyces sRNA 4677
About the family: Located in the intergenic region between anti-sigma factor SCO4677 gene and a putative regulatory protein gene SCO4676. scr4677 expression requires the SCO4677 activity and scr4677 sRNA itself seem to affect the levels of the SCO4676-associated transcripts.
Source: Rfam by way of RNAcentral